GCGCGGGUGGCGAAAUUGGUAGACGCACCAGGUUUAGGUCCUGACGGUGGCGACACCGUGGGGGUUCGAGUCCCCCCCCGCGCACCA
RNAcentral lists this transfer RNA (87 nucleotides) under Tepidimonas ignava. Its description in RNAcentral is "tRNA-Leu". It matches the Rfam family "tRNA". From Rfam's summary of the family: Transfer RNA (tRNA) molecules are approximately 80 nucleotides in length. The record is from RNAcentral. Lineage: Bacteria; Pseudomonadati; Pseudomonadota; Betaproteobacteria; Burkholderiales. RNAcentral also lists the same sequence under 6 other names.